CAGUCGCCGCGGUAAUACGUAGGGUGCAAGCGUUAAUCGGAAUUACUGGGCGUAAAGCGUGCGCAGGCGGUUCGGAAAGAAAGAUGUGAAAUCCCAGGGCUCAACCUUGGAACUGCAUUUUUAACUACCGGACUAGAGUAUGUCAGAGGGAGGUGGAAUUCCACGUGUAGCAGUGAAGUGCGUAGAUAUGUGGAGGAACACCGAUGGCGAAGGCAGCCUCCUGGGAUAAUACUGACGCUCAUGCACGAAAGCGUGGGGAGCAAACAGGAUUAGAUACCCCUGUAGUCCCUGUCUCUUAUAC
RNAcentral lists this ribosomal RNA (301 nucleotides) under uncultured bacterium. Its description in RNAcentral is "partial 16S ribosomal RNA". It matches the Rfam family "Bacterial small subunit ribosomal RNA", at positions 509 to 807 of the family's 1533-position model. The record is from RNAcentral.